This 819-nucleotide ribosomal RNA is filed under the name uncultured microorganism. RNAcentral's name for it is "bacterial SSU rRNA". It matches the Rfam family "Bacterial small subunit ribosomal RNA", at positions 56 to 863 of the family's 1533-position model. The record is from RNAcentral.
UGCAGUGGAGCGACGAACCAGGGCUUGCCCUGGGGCCAAGCCGCGAACGGGUGAGUAACACGUGGGUAACCUGCCCAGAUGACCGGGACAACCCGAGGAAACUCGGGCUAAUACCGGAUGUGACCCUCAUACAUCAGUGUGAGGACCAAAGGAAGCUUCGGCCUCCGCAUCUGGAGGGGCCCGCGGCCCAUUAGCUAGUUGGUGAGGUAACGGCUCACCAAGGCCAUGAUGGGUAGCUGGUCUGAGAGGACGAUCAGCCACACUGGGACUGAGACACGGCCCAGACUCCUACGGGAGGCAGCAGUGGGGAAUCUUGCGCAAUGCGCGAAAGCGUGACGCAACAACGCCGCGUGAGGGAAGAAGGCCUUCGGGUUGUAAACCUCUUUCAGAAGGGACGAAGGGUCGGCCGCGAAUAGCGAGCCGGCUUGACGGUACCUUCAGAAGAAGCCCCGGCUAACUACGUGCCAGCAGCCGCGGUAAUACGUAGGGGGCAAGCGUUGUCCGGAAUCAUUGGGCGUAAAGCGCGCGUAGGCGGCUAGAUCAGUCUGCUGUGAAAGUCAAAGGCUCAACCUUUGAAUGCCGGUGGAUACUGUCUAGCUAGAGUCCGGAAGAGGCGAGUGGAAUUCCUGGUGUAGCGGUGGAAUGCGCAGAUAUCAGGAGGAACACCAACGGCGAAGGCAGCUCGCUGGGACGGUACUGACGCUAAGGCGCGAAAGCGUGGGGAGCGAACAGGAUUAGAUACCCUGGUAGUCCACGCCGUAACGAUGGGCACUACGUGUGGGAGUGUCGACUCCUCCCGUGCCGUCGCUAACGCACUAA